This 431-nucleotide ribosomal RNA is filed under the name uncultured bacterium. Its description in RNAcentral is "partial 16S ribosomal RNA". It matches the Rfam family "Bacterial small subunit ribosomal RNA", at positions 29 to 507 of the family's 1533-position model. The record is from RNAcentral.
AACGAACGCUGGCGGCAGGCUUAACACAUGCAAGUCGAGCGCCCCGCAAGGGGAGCGGCAGACGGGUGAGUAACGCGUGGGAACGUACCUUUUGGUUCAGAACAACUCCGGGAAACUGGAGCUAAUACCGGAUAAGCCCUAACGGGGAAAGAUUUAUCGCCGAAAGAUCGGCCCGCGUCUGAUUAGCUAGUUGGUGAGGUAACGGCUCACCAAGGCGACGAUCAGUAGCUGGUCUGAGAGGAUGAUCAGCCACACUGGGACUGAGACACGGCCCAGACUCCUACGGGAGGCAGCAGUGGGGAAUAUUGGACAAUGGGCGCAAGCCUGAUCCAGCCAUGCCGCGUGAGUGAUGAAGGCCUUAGGGUUGUAAAGCUCUUUUGUCCGGGAAGAUAAUGACUGUACCGGAAGAAUAAGCCCCGGCUAACUUCGUG